This 1993-nucleotide long non-coding RNA is filed under the name Sus scrofa (pig). RNAcentral describes it as "lncRNA (ENSSSCG00070019321.1)". The record is from RNAcentral. Lineage: Eukaryota; Metazoa; Chordata; Mammalia; Artiodactyla; Suidae.
CCUGUCUCUUUGCAACUUCAUAGUCAAUGGCAUCAUGUCGAUAGCUUUACAUUGGUCACAAUGUGAAUAUUUAUGCCAUGAGAAGUGGCAAAUGCUACCAGUCAGGGUUUUUAUUUUCCUUAAAGCCUGCUGUUCAACAUUUACCUGGGCAAACUGAUGUUUGCUACAGGCUGUAGCAUUUUCCUAGCCUGUUAAUGAAAAAGAAGGGAAAUAAGGAAGAAAAGGAGGGAGGGUUCGAGGGAAAUAAGAAGGAAAGGCAAGAAAAAGGGAAGGAAGAGGAGACGAGAGAAGAAGACAGAAAAGCUUUAAUCAGUAUAUUAACCUUAACGUGAUAUUUUUCCCCCCAGAUAACUGUGAUGCCCCUCUGGCAUCUGCCUUGCCCCGGGCUUCCUUCAGCAGCUCCUCAGAGCUGUCCAGCAGCCAUGGCCCUGGCUUUGCCAGUCUUAAUCGCAGAGAUGGAGCUGGUGGCUGGUCUCCACUUGUAUCAAACAAAUACCAGUGGCUGCAGAUUGACCUUGGAGAGAGGAUGGAGGUCACAGCUGUGGCCACCCAGGGAGGAUAUGGGAGCUCUGACUGGGUGACCAGCUACCUUCUGAUGUUCAGCGAUGGUGGGAGGAACUGGAAGCAAUAUCGGCGAGAGGAGAGCAUCUGGGUAUGUGCAUUGAUUGAAAAGAUAUCUGUCAGAGUAUGAAUGAUGCCUGUUGCUACAUGUUACUACAAAUUUAUCAGAUCAAGUAUGAAAAUAGAGCCUCCUAAAUUACUUGAAAAUGUUUCCAUCAAAUGUGAGCCCCAUGCAAUAUUCCAGAAUAUACUGUCCAUGUAUAAUUUUUGAAAGGAGUAAAAAACAAGUUUUAUAUAAUGUAGUGAGAUAUUGAAAAUGUCUUCCCAUUAUUCCUUUCAAUGAGGAGUAAAUAAGUCACAUACAAACUACUUUAUUUGUGUUUAAUAACAAACACAGAGGUUUGUAUUGCCUCAGCAUUUUUUAGUAAAACAAAUUCAUUUUCUCUAGGGCCUCCGACAGAGUGAAAUUUCUGAAGGACCCUGAACAUUUAGAAAUAGAUGUAAUAGACAGUCUUUCUAUAGAGGACUCAAUGAGGCAUGCGUUGAGUUCUUGCUCCACAAGGAACUUGGGUACCAUGGCACCUCUUGUAAUUCAUGGGCCAUAGGUCCCUAGGAUCUUUUGGAAUCAGAACUACUUUAAAUUAAUUUACGUCAGUGACAUAGUUUCUGCUUCUGAUUACACAUCCAUGUUCCUUUUAGGGGAAUUACAUUUUGUUGGUUUCACUUUUUGGAUAUUUAAAUAUAUGCACUCCAGUAUAGAGUUAGCAUUUCAUGUUAUUUAAAGAUCAUGGUCUGCUGUGAAUGAGAAACUCUAAGAGUAGAGUGUUGUAAAGAUCUGUACAGGGUUUGCAGCUGGCUGAUGGGACAGCUAGUGGAGGAGGUGGCCUGGAGACUUGUCAGGUGGAGAAGAAAUUACUUUGUUCUUGUUAUUAGAUGGCUGCCAGGAGCUGGGGGAAGGGAGGAAUGGACCGUGAGUGUUGUUUAAGGGAGACCGAGCGUCAGUUUGAGAAGUUGAAAGUUCUGGAGUUCCCCUUCUGGCUCAGCGGAAACAAAUCCGACUAAGAACCAUGAGGUUGCCGGUUCGCAUCCCUGGCCUGGCUCAGUGGGUUAAGGAUCCGGUGUUGCCGUGAGCUGUGGUGUAGGUCACAGAUGCGGCUCGGAUCCCGCGUUGCUGUUGCUGUAGCAUAGGCCGGUGGCUACAACUCCUAUCAGACCCCUAGCCUGGGAAACUCCAUAUGCUGUGGGUGUGGCCCUAAAAAGCAAACAAACAAACAAAAGAGAAGUUGAAAGUUCUGAAGAUGGAGAGUAGUGACGGUUGCACAACAAUGUGAAUGUUGAUGUUAUAGAAUUGUACACUUAAAAAUGGCUAAAGGGGUAAACUUCAUGUUACGUGUAUUUUAUCAAAAUAAAAAAAUAUACAGUAUAUCUUCCA